This 805-nucleotide ribosomal RNA is filed under the name uncultured bacterium. RNAcentral describes it as "bacterial SSU rRNA". It matches the Rfam family "Bacterial small subunit ribosomal RNA", at positions 8 to 805 of the family's 1533-position model. The record is from RNAcentral.
AGAGUUUGAUCCUGGCUCAGGAUGAACGCUAGCGGCAGGCUUAACACAUGCAAGUCGAGGGGCAGCGCGGGGCGGCAACGUCCUGGCGGCGACCGGCGGAAGGGUGCGUAACGCGUGAGCGACAUGCCCGUUGCCCGGGGACAACCGGUGGAAACGCCGACUAAUCCCCGAUGGGACGGAGGCCCUCAUGGGUCUCUGUUGAAAGUUACGGCGGCGACGGAUUGGCUCGCGUCCGAUUAGCUUGUUGGCGGGGUAACGGCCCACCAAGGCUACGAUCGGUAGGGGUUCUGAGAGGAAGGUCCCCCACAAUGGAACUGAGACACGGUCCAUACUCCUACGGGAGGCAGCAGUGAGGAAUAUUGGUCAAUGGGCGGAAGCCUGAACCAGCCAUGCCGCGUGCGGGAAGGAGGCCCUAUGGGCUGUGAACCGCUUUUGCCUGGGGGCAAUAAGGGCGUCGCGCACGUCCGAUGAGAGUACCAGGGGAAUAAGCAUCGGCUAACUCCGUGCCAGCAGCCGCGGUAAUACGGGGGAUGCGAGCGUUAUCCGGAUUCAUUGGGUUUAAAGGGUGCGUAGGCUGUGCGUCAAGUCAGGGGUGAAAUUCCGGGGCUCAACUCCGGGGCUGCCCUUGAUACUGUCGCGCUGGAGUGCGGAUGCCGCCGGAGGAAUGAGUGGUGUAGCGGUGAAAUGCUUAGAUAUCACUCAGAACACCGAUUGCGAAGGCAGCCUGCUGUAGCGCAACUGACGCUGAAGCUCGAAUAGCGUGGGUAUCGAACAGGAUUAGAUACCCUGGUAGUCCACGCGGUAA